GAUGAACGCUGGCGGCGUGCCUAAUACAUGCAAGUCGAGCGAACAGACGAGGAUCUUGCUCCUCUGACGUUAGCGGCGGACGGGUGAGUAACACGUGGAUAACCUACCUAUAAUACGGGUAUAACUUCGGGAAACCGGAGCUAAUACCGGAUAAUAUAUUGAACCGCAUGGGUCAAUAGUGAAAGACGGUGUUGCUGUCACGUAUAGAUGGAUCCGCGCCGCAUUAUGUAGUUGGUAAUGUAACGGCUUACGAAGGCAACGAUGCGUAGCCGAGCUGAGAGGGUGAUCGGCCACACUGGAACUGCCACACGGUCCAGACCCCUACGGGAGGCCGCAGUAGGGCAUCUUCCGCAAGGGGCGAAAGCCGGACGGAGCACCGACGCGUGAGGCAUCAACGUCUUCGGCUCGUAAACCUCUGUUAUUAGGGAAGCACAAAUGUGUAAGUACCUAUGCACGUCGUGACGGAACCUAAUAAGAACGCCACGGAUAUAUACG
Molecule: ribosomal RNA, 495 nt
Filed under: uncultured bacterium
Lineage: Bacteria
Description: partial 16S ribosomal RNA
Rfam family: Bacterial small subunit ribosomal RNA
Source: RNAcentral